Molecule: ribosomal RNA, 256 nt
Filed under: uncultured bacterium
Lineage: Bacteria
Description: partial 16S ribosomal RNA
Rfam family: Bacterial small subunit ribosomal RNA
Source: RNAcentral
UAAUACGUAGGGCGCGAGCGUUGUCCGGAAUUAUUGGGCGUAAAGAGCUCGUAGGCGGUUUGUCGCGUCUGCCGUGAAAUCCUCUGGCUUAACUGGGGGCGUGCGGUGGGUACGGGCAGACUGGAGUGCGGUAGGGGAGACUGGAAUUCCUGGUGUAGCGGUGGAAUGCGCAGAUAUCAGGAGGAACACCGGUGGCGAAGGCGGGUCUCUGGGCCGUUACUGACGCUGAGGAGCGAAAGCAUGGGGAGCGAACAGG